AAUACAUGCAAGUCGAGCGGACAGAUGGGAGCUUGCUCCCUGAUGUUAGCGGCGGACGGGUGAGUAACACGUGGGUAACCUGCCUGUAAGACUGGGAUAACUCCGGGAAACCGGGGCUAAUACCGGAUGGUUGUUUGAACCGCAUGGUUCAAACAUAAAAGGUGGCUUCGGCUACCACUUACAGAUGGACCCGCGGCGCAUUAGCUAGUUGGUGAGGUAACGGCUCACCAAGGCAACGAUGCGUAGCCGACCUGAGAGGGUGAUCGGCCACACUGGGACUGAGACACGGCCCAGACUCCUACGGGAGGCAGCAGUAGGGAAUCUUCCGCAAUGGACGAAAGUCUGACGGAGCAACGCCGCGUGAGUGAUGAAGGUUUUCGGAUCGUAAAGCUCUGUUGUUAGGGAAGAACAAGUACCGUUCGAAUAGGGCGGUACCUUGACGGUACCUAACCAGAAAGCCACGGCUAACUACGUGCCAGCAGCCGCGGUAAUACGUAGGUGGCAAGCGUUGUCCGGAAUUAUUGGGCGUAAAGGGCUCGCAGGCGGUUUCUUAAGUCUGAUGUGAAAGCCCCCGGCUCAACCGGGGAGGGUCAUUGGAAACUGGGGAACUUGAGUGCAGAAGAGGAGAGUGGAAUUCCACGUGUAGCGGUGAAAUGCGUAGAGAUGUGGAGGAACACCAGUGGCGAAGGCGACUCUCUGGUCUGUAACUGACGCUGAGGAGCGAAAGCGUGGGGAGCGAACAGGAUUAGAUACCCUGGUAGUCCACGCCGUAAACGAUGAGUGCUAAGUGUUAGGGGGUUUCCGCCCCUUAGUGCUGCAGCUAACGCAUUAAGCACUCCGCCUGGGGAGUACGGUCGCAAGACUGAAACUCAAAGGAAUUGACGGGGGCCCGCACAAUCGGUGGAACAUGUGGUUUAAUUCAAAGCAACGCGAAGAACCUUACCAGGUCUUGACAUCCUCUGACAAUCCUAGAGAUAGGACGUCCCCUUCGGGGGCAGAAU
RNAcentral lists this ribosomal RNA (1001 nucleotides) under Bacillus subtilis. RNAcentral describes it as "bacterial SSU rRNA". It matches the Rfam family "Bacterial small subunit ribosomal RNA", at positions 50 to 1032 of the family's 1533-position model. Lineage: Bacteria; Bacillati; Bacillota; Bacilli; Caryophanales; Bacillaceae. The record is from RNAcentral.